UUCUUUGAGCCACAGGGUGAGGUGUCCAGUUGGAACGCGGAGAAGUCAGAGCAGCGCUGCUGGGGCUGUGAGCGCCUUAAGCGGAGAGAGUCAAGUGAUCCAAGCCGGGCAGGCCCUGGGAGGACUCCUCUGCUGAGUCAGCGCCAUCUGUUUCUGUUGUCUUCAUGGCCUCUGCUUCCUUCCGAUCAUUGUACCAGGCCACAAAUGGCUGCCAUGGUUCCAGGUUUUUAGAUUCACCGUUCUCAAUGGCGUUUUCCACUUCUCCUGGACAAAAAGGAGACUUAUCAUCUUGGGCCUCCAAGCCAGGGCACGGAAGACAGAAAACCUUAACUGCAGUGCCUGGUCCCAGCUCCUGAAGACGUGUGCAAGUUUUAUGACUGAGGGCUCUGCUGUUUAAUGUCACCAGAACAAGCUGAUGGAGUCACAGCCUUAUUAGUCACCCCGAUCGGACUUCCACUCAAAAUGAAGAGAGGAUACCCUGAAGAGAGGGUGGGGAGGUCCGGAAAAAGUUGGUGCCAUCUGAGGAUCCUGUGGGGUGAAUACUGGACGGAGCAUCUAAAAGGCACCAGCUGUAGAAGGACUUUUCCUCAUGUCUGCCCCAGGUUCCUAGAAUGAUGAGCUUGCUAGGGGUCCCAACUUUGGAAAAUGCAGUCAAGUUACUACAACUGGGGGAAAAGAUGGAUUUCAAAA
This is a long non-coding RNA of Alexandromys fortis (reed vole), 690 nucleotides long. RefSeq lists it as uncharacterized. The transcript has 3 exons. The record is from RefSeq and is a predicted model, not a curated record. NCBI's taxonomy places the organism in Eukaryota, Metazoa, Chordata, Mammalia, Rodentia, Cricetidae.